This 29-nucleotide non-coding RNA is filed under the name Rattus norvegicus (Norway rat). Lineage: Eukaryota; Metazoa; Chordata; Mammalia; Rodentia; Muridae. The record is from RNAcentral.
UCUCCCUCGGGUAUUGUAGUCUAGGAUGC